RNAcentral lists this ribosomal RNA (306 nucleotides) under Triticum aestivum (bread wheat). RNAcentral describes it as "partial small subunit ribosomal RNA". Lineage: Eukaryota; Viridiplantae; Streptophyta; Magnoliopsida; Poales; Poaceae. The record is from RNAcentral.
AUGAGCAGAGAGGAGCAACUGGAGGCAUUGCUCUGCUUGGACCCAUUGACGGUGCCGGAAAAUAUCCGAAAGACAGUAGAAGAGAGGAACAAACUCUGUAUCCUAAUCUUGGACAAGUACCCGCACAUGAUCCGGCACGUCGGUCGUCUUCCUGACGAACCUUGCUUAGCAUCGCGCGCACUCUUUAUAUUAUGGUCUACGGUGGCUUCGGGGAUCCUCCUCCUUCAAAAUAAUGUGGGCCGGAAGGGAAGUACAGAAGAGACUGAUCCAUCAAUCAUACAUGAUGACACUACUGCAAAGAGUUGA